Molecule: transfer RNA, 72 nt
Organism: Camelus ferus (Wild Bactrian camel)
Lineage: Eukaryota; Metazoa; Chordata; Mammalia; Artiodactyla; Camelidae
Rfam family: tRNA
About the family: Transfer RNA (tRNA) molecules are approximately 80 nucleotides in length. Their secondary structure includes four short double-helical elements and three loops (D, anti-codon, and T loops). Further hydrogen bonds mediate the characteristic L-shaped molecular structure. tRNAs have two regions of fundamental functional importance: the anti-codon, which is responsible for specific mRNA codon recognition, and the 3' end, to which the tRNAs corresponding amino acid is attached (by aminoacyl-tRNA synthetases). tRNAs cope with the degeneracy of the genetic code in two manners: having more than one tRNA (with a specific anti-codon) for a particular amino acid; and 'wobble' base-pairing, i.e. permitting non-standard base-pairing at the 3rd anti-codon position.
Source: Rfam
GAGGGUAUAGCUCAGUGGUAGAGCACGUGCCUAGCAUGCCUGCGGUCCUGGGUUCAAUCCCCAAUACCUCCA